CUUGUGGAGAUCAACCUCAACAACAUCAAGAACAUUCCCAUCCCGACUUUAAAGGCGUACGCUCAGGCUCUGAUAGAGAACACGGCGGUGGAGAGGUUGAGUAUCGUUGGAACCAGAAGCAAUGACCCUGUAGCAUUUGCCCUGGCGGAGAUGCUCAAGGUUAACACGACACUGAAGAGCCUGAAUGUUGAGUCGAACUUUAUAACAGGGACUGGAAUCCUCGCCCUCAUUGAGUCACUGCAGUACAACACCACAUUACUGGAGCUCAAGAUUGACAAUCAGGUGCUGAACAGAACUGUGACAUGUACAU
This is a long non-coding RNA of Hippocampus comes (tiger tail seahorse), 310 nucleotides long. RefSeq lists it as uncharacterized. NCBI's taxonomy places the organism in Eukaryota, Metazoa, Chordata, Actinopteri, Syngnathiformes, Syngnathidae. The transcript has 3 exons. The record is from RefSeq and is a predicted model, not a curated record.